Molecule: long non-coding RNA, 2695 nt
Organism: Hydra vulgaris (swiftwater hydra)
Lineage: Eukaryota; Metazoa; Cnidaria; Hydrozoa; Anthoathecata; Hydridae
Source: RefSeq, a predicted model, not a curated record
AUCUGGCUUUUUACGGCACCGAUUUCAAAGUUAAAAACUGUAACCUUUUUUUUCACAGCGUGCUCGAAGUCGGUAUGGUAAGGAUGUAUUUAUUUGUCUUUUUUAAAAAAAUUUAUAUCAACUCAGACUUUAUUAAAAAAGUCGAAUUUUUAAUGUUGAAUAAAUUAUGUGUUUUUUUUAUGGUUAAUAAAUUUUUCACUUAUUUUAUUGCUAUUUAAAAUUUCGUUCCUUUUCUGGAAGUGCAUUCAUAUGGAAGGCAUGUUGGUACAUUUUUGAAAUUUUCUAGUCAACUGUAUAAAUCAAUUUUCUAUGUGCCUGCAAAAUACAAUUUAAAAAUAUUCAUGACCACAUAACGUAGUUUUUGAUCCAGUGGAAGUUCAAUUUCUACCCUUUUUACUGUUACUGUUACUGUUACACUUUAUUAAACUGUUUCUGCUACUGUUACUGUUACUUCUUGUUAUAAAUUCUGUUGUUUUUUUUACAAUUACCAGUGAUUUUUAUUCAGUUUUAAAAUUUUAUUUCUGUUCCGGAGGUGCAUAAAUAUUGAAGGUAUGUUGGUACACUUUUUAAAUUUUCCAGGCAACUGUAUAAAUCUAUUUUCUAUGUGCCUGCCAAAUUUCAUUAAAAAAUAUUUAUGACCAGACAUCCUAUUUUAUCGUGGAGUGGAGGUAUGUAUUUCCACUUCCGUUACAUAGUUUAAGGCGGGGGGGAGGGCAUUUCGUUGGUGUUAGCCAGUGAGCAUUCAGUAUACUUGUUUUUCUAUUCAUAAUAAUGAAAUAUUUUAUAAGAACUUUCAUUAAAAAGUUUUACUUUUUUUAAAUAGUCAUUUAUUACUAAGAAUACUGUUGAUUUUUUUAAAUAAUUGUAUAAUCAUUUAUUGUGUUAUUUAUUGUAUAUAUUUUUUAUUGCUUACUCUUUUCACACAUCAAAAUCAGCUUCAAGGCUGCUUUGAAACUAAUUUCGGCGUGUGAAAAGAGUAAGUAAUUCAAAUUAUCUUUGGCAGAACUUUGCCUUGAAGGCAAAGUUCUCCUAAAAAAAAAUUAAUAUGGUGAAAUAAAAAUCAAAUGACACUUUUAUAUGGGGAUUCAGCAUAAAAUGCGAAAAAAAAUAUUAAAAACAAAAACAGCAUUUUCUCAGCUUUUUUCCAUACCCAGAAUUUACUAUAUAACCACCUUAAGCUCUAUGAUACAUAAAAAUUAUAUACAUGUUUUAUCUAUGCGAAUAAUAAUAAAUGUAUCUACACAUUUUUUUAUAGGUUAAUAGUAAUUUUUUAAAUUAGUUAGUUGUGUUUAAAAGCCAACCCAAUUAAAUAGUUGUAUUAUGAUUGUUUGAUUUAGUGCAUCGUGGGACCUAAAAAGGAAACAUUUCUACUUGAUGGUAAAGCUAAAAGUUAGUUAACUUGUAGUUUUACACUACCAGCUCAUUUAAAUAUUGGUUGUAGCAAUGGACGCCUACUGCAUAUAUUGGCAACUAACAAGGAUUCAUAUAAAGUAACUGUAGAAGAAAUCAAUAAGUAUUUUAACAUCAAAGUUUGUACUAAUUAGAUUCUGCAACUAGUUAAAACAUCAAAAAACUUUGUAAACCAUUUUUCACGAGAUUCAAAACAAUUUAUUGACAUCUGCAACAUGCUCUGUGCAUACAAAUAAUAACAUCUGCUAUGGCGCAAACAUCGCAAUCAAUUGCAACCUCAAUUCACAUUGCUAUAUGUUCUUCAUUUCCUUUUCAACAAAUCAGUGUUUUAUCUGUAUCAAACAGUGGUCACUUAUCUCUUUUAUCUGGUCCUGCUAUAGAAACCUCUUCUCAUGAACCACUAUCCAGUUAGAGAGCUGACUAGUUAAGUCCCAGAAAAAGGUUAUGAGAAAGAGAUUUAAUUUUUUUGUUUGAAACAGCAGUUAACAUUAAUCGAAACCAAGUUUUCUUAUCCAAAGGCAAUUUUAUACCAACAACUUGCUGACAAAAAUUAUGCAAUUCUUGUACUGCAAAAUGACAUUGAUACUGAUUUUACAGGAAGAGUUGGAGAAAAUUCAGCAAGUAACACAAAACACUAAAACUCAAAAACACUACUCAGCAGAUAUUAGAACACUUAUAUACGACAUGCUUGUGUGUUAGUUCCUGGUUUCAUUCACUACACAAUUCAUUUUCUACACAAUUCUGCAAUACAAACUUCGCUACAAGGAUUCAAAAGUGAUCCAAAGGGUUUUGGGUUCUUUUUGGACCAACACGAGUUGCCCAGAAGAUUGCUACCACGCUAUAGAGGGAACAGAAUACAUAUGCUUUUUUACACAUGUGGUACUUUGAUCUAUAAUUAUUCCAUAUUGAAGAUAUUUUUGUGUUCUGGCUUGACAUUAUGUGAAUGUCUGCAAAAUGGUUUGUUUCAAGACUUUACAUCUGAAACAGGUUUUAACUAAUAGCAUGCUAAAAGAUUGCAAUUUGCUACUGUCUUAAAGUCCUCAAGAUUAUAUUUUAUAAUUCAGUUACACAACGUGAUGAGUACUGCACGCUUGCUUUGAUGUUUGUUGAUCUUCUUCAUUUCAAUAUUAAAUCGAUAUCAUUAUAUAUGGUUUCCAUCGCGUACUAAAGAUUCGACUCCUUCUAUGGAUGUCACAGUUUUAUUUACUUCAAAAACUAGGCUUUUUUCAAGCCACAAUUCUGUUAAAAACAUUACUAAGCAAAUAAAAUAACUAUAGUGUAAAUU